This 1243-nucleotide ribosomal RNA is filed under the name metagenome. Its description in RNAcentral is "bacterial SSU rRNA". It matches the Rfam family "Bacterial small subunit ribosomal RNA", at positions 198 to 1428 of the family's 1533-position model. The record is from RNAcentral.
CGCCUUCGGGCCUGCCGCCUGGAGAUUGGCCCGCGUCCCAUUAGCUUGUUGGCGGGGUAAAGGCCCACCAAGGCGACGAUGGGUAGCCGGCCUGAGAGGGUGUCCGGCCACACUGGGAUUGAGAUACGGCCCAGACUCCUUCGGGAGGCAGCAGUCGAGAAUCUUCCCCAAUGGGCGAAAGCCUGAGGGAGCGACGCCGCGUGAGGGAUGAAGGCCCUUUGGGUUGUAAACCUCUGUUAGGGGGAAAGAAAAGCAGUGGAAGCAAUAUGUCCAUUGCCUGACGUUACCCCCAGAGAAAGCUCCGGCCAACUCCGUGCCAGCAGCCGCGGUAAUACGGGGGGAGCAAGCGUUGUCCGGAAUCAUUGGGCGUAAAGGGCGUGUAGGCGGCUUGGCAAGUCGAAUGUGAAAUCCCACGGCUCAACCGUGGAACUGCGUUCGAAACUGCCUUGCUUGAGUGCGGGAGAGGUGUGCGGAAUUCCUGGUGUAGCGGUGGAAUGCGUAGAUAUCAGGAAGAACACCGGUGGCGAAGGCGGCACACUGGCCCAGCACUGACGCUGAGGCGCGAAAGCGUGGGGAGCGAACGGGAUUAGAUACCCCGGUAGUCCACGCUGUAAACUUUGGGCACUAGGUAUUGGAGGUCUCAACCCCUUCAGUGCCGUAGCUAACGCGUUAAGUGCCCCGCCUGGGGAGUACGGUCGCAAGGCUGAAACUCAAAGGAAUUGACGGGGGCCCGCACAAGCGGUGGAGCAUGUGGUUUAAUUCGAUGCAACGCGAAGAACCUUACCGGGGUUUGACAUGGGAGCCUCGCCGCAAGGCGAGGUCAGCCCUAUGAAAGUAGGGUGUGUCCACACAGGUGCUGCAUGGCUGUCGUCAGCUCGUGUCAUGAGAUGUUGGGUUAAGUCCCGCAACGAGCGCAACCCUCGCCGAUAGUUACCAACGGGUCAUGCCGGGGACUCUAUCGAGACUGCCGGUGAUAAACCGGAGGAAGGUGGGGAUGAUGUCAAGUCAUCAUGGCCCUUACAUCCCGGGCUACACACGUGCUACAAUGGUCGGUACAGCGGGUUGCAAUACCGCGAGGUGGAGCAAAUCCUCAAAGCCGGCCUCAGUACGGAUUGGAGUCUGCAACUCGACUCCAUGAAGCCGGAAUCGCUAGUAAUCGCGGAUCAGAAUGCCGCGGUGAAUACGUUCCCGGGCCUUGUACACACCGCCCGUCAAGCCAUGGGAAUCGGCAGCACUCGAAGUC